RNAcentral lists this ribosomal RNA (466 nucleotides) under uncultured bacterium. Its description in RNAcentral is "partial 16S ribosomal RNA". It matches the Rfam family "Bacterial small subunit ribosomal RNA", at positions 28 to 506 of the family's 1533-position model. The record is from RNAcentral.
GACGAACGCUGGCGGCGUGCUUAACACAUGCAAGUCGAACGGAAAGGCCUCUUUCGGGGGGUACUCGAGUGGCGAACGGGUGAGUAACACGUGAGUAACCUGCCCUUGACUUUGGGAUAACUUCAGGAAACUGGGGCUAAUACCGGAUAGGAGCUCCUGCUGCAUGGUGGGGGUUGGAAAGUUUCGGCGGUUGGGGAUGGACUCGCGGCUUAUCAGCUUGUUGGUGGGGUAGUGGCUUACCAAGGCUUUGACGGGUAGCCGGCCUGAGAGGGUGACCGGCCACAUUGGGACUGAGAUCCGGCCCAGACUCCUACGGGAGGCAGCAGUGGGGAAUAUUGCACAAUGGGUGGAAGCCUGAUGCAGCAACGCCGGGUGCGGGAUGACGGCCUUCGGGUUGUAAACCGCUUUCGCUCAUGACGAAGCUUUGUGUGACGGUAGUGGGUAAAGAAGCACCGGCUAACUACGU